UGACAGGGUGCCUAUGUGCCACAUGGUAGGCGCUUAAUAGAUGUUUAUUAACAGAUUUGGUUGGAGUUCUAGAAAAGAAGGGUUCUUGAUGGGCAGCUAGAAAAGCCUCUUGGAGUCUCCCUCCCAUCCCCCUAAAAAAGGUACCAUUCAAGAUUGAGGAGAGCAGGUGUUGCCAUGGUUUUACAGUCCAGCAUCCUCCUCACAGAGCUACUUUCCCAGCAACAACCCUAAAAGAUGGUAAAAGGAUCAUUAACAACAUUUAACCAAUGAAGACACUGAAACUUAGAAAGGUUUAGGUGUAGUGAUCUCCACCAGAGAAGAGUUUGAGCCAUGGCCACCCUUGAGUCCAGAUUGCAGAUAUAGUCCCUGAUCUGGAGUGAUGACCUGAGAUCCAACCUCCUUUUCCAUUAUCUGCAGAUGUGAAUUCUAUUGGCAUGCCCAAAGAAUUGGUGAGACCCCUGGGAUGAUACUCUGGGUGAUGGUUCCUGUAUGAAUACUUAUCCAAUUUUCUUUGUUUUAUAAAUUAUGUAGCCAUAGUUUGUCAAGUAUUUAAAUUCUAUGACAAUAGGUAGUCAAUGGGGAGGGAAUGAUGGCAAGAAGAGAAUGAUGACAGAAGCAACAAUUCAGAUGUGACACAGAAGAUCUGGAGUAGUAGACCUCAAAUUUUUUAUAUUUUGAGCAACAUCUGAUAUCAUCUCUCCCAGCUAAAUUUUUAACCUUGGAUUUAAACUGCUUAGGGCAGCCAUUUUUCAAGCCAUAUAUUGUUGUAGUAGUAAAGUAAUUGAAAGGACAUGAGAUUUGUAAGGGGGUAGACUAUCCUGCCAGCCAUGCCAAAUGUGCUGGUUAUGCCAAUUAUAGGGUGGCAUACCCUCCAAGAAUACUUGAGAUACCAAAGAAAGAGGGAUUUAUGUCCACUUAGUCAUUAAUAGGUUUUGCUAGAGUUAAUUAGUUUAAUUGGAGGAAUUUUCACAGAAGAGGUCCAAGAAAUAUUGAGGAUUCCCACACCAACUCCAACCUAGAUCAAAUAUUAUGUAGAAGCAAAACAAAGAAGAUCUAGAGCCAGGGAUGGCCCAGGGUCACAUGUAAGUUUUCCCUUCAGAUAGUUGGGGUUUC
Long non-coding RNA from Monodelphis domestica (gray short-tailed opossum), 1113 nucleotides. RefSeq lists it as uncharacterized. Lineage: Eukaryota; Metazoa; Chordata; Mammalia; Didelphimorphia; Didelphidae. The record is from RefSeq and is a predicted model, not a curated record.